UUUAGUUGAAUCAAAGUCUUUGACGCUAUAACAGUCUUAAAAAUCGUACGGUUUGAAAUACUAUUAAAUAUAUUUAUGUACACCAAUAAUGUAUAUAAGUACGCGAGUUCUAUAAACUGUAAGGCAUUAAUCGAUUUUCAAAUGUACAAAUAUUAGGUACUUCGUCUGGUUGUUAGUAAAUCGUAUAGGUAUAGAAAGUUUAAUAUUUCUUAUUGUUUGUUAGGUAUAUUGUUGUACAGUAAUAAUGUGUCUGUAUCGUCACUCGUGUCAGUAUGUACGUAUCGUUUAUAAUAAGGUAUUACUGUCAACAAGGUCGUAUUUAGUGGGGGAGGGGGGUGGAGUUGACCAUCCCUGGAAUUUCGAUCAACAUUGUUUAAGUUGAGUGCACGAAUAGUACUGUAAGUUGUAGACCAUUACAGUCUGUGGCAACAAAAAUAAUAUUAGACGAUUGGAUUUGAUUCUCCCUUCCCCCCCCCAAAUAAAAACACGUAAAAAAUUGGUCCAGCUACACAUUGUACGGCCGUGACUGUCGAGAAAUAGAAAAUGCAGUGACCGUCCGACGUUGUUAGAUUGUAAUAUUGUACCUAUCUGUUGUGUUGAUCGUAUUGAUUAUUCGUCCUUGGCCGUUAUUAUAUUUAAGUCCCACAGUCGUUAUUUUUCGCAUAAUAUUUAUGAUUAUUCUAUAUAAUACGUAUAUAAACGAAAAUAGUAUUAUAAUUUCGGAACCGGUGGGAAUUUUUUACGAGUAUAUAAUAUUAUAUUAUUAUGUGCGUUAACAGAGAUUGAAAAAAAGUCAAUAAUUAUUUAUAUCACAGCCAAUGUUAUAUACAUAAAAAAAAUAAAUUAAAAAAAAAAAAAACAAAAAAUAAAAAAAUAAAUAAAACAAUAAUUUAUCUAAUAUUAUUAUACCCUUAACAGUAUAUAGUAGGCAGUGGGUAAAACUACCACUAAUACUCGGAGAUAAUAAUAAGAAUACGACUUCGUUUUUUUUUUCUCUAUAUUAUAAUAAAUAGAUUUUUUUUUAAUUUAGUAAAAUUUCGUUGGAAAUGGUAAAUCAAUCGAGUUUUAGUUUUCUUUUUUUCCAUUCGUAAUAAUUAAAUAGUUAAAUUAAUUUUAGAACUAAAUUAUUUUUAUGUUUUUUUUUUUUUUCCACGCGAAAUAAUAGAAUAUUGUAUGAAUAUUCGAGCUCCGUUAUCAUAAAUAUUAUUAUCCGUCGGCCGCAGUGCAGUUAUAUUAGUGUUAUUAUUACGUACCUUCAUCGUAUUAUAUUAUAUUUCCGUCGUUACGGACUACCGACGAAAUUAAUAAAACGAGUGGUUUUUUUUUUUUUUUGAAGUUUUUGCAGGAAAUCGUCAAAUUGUAUGUGUAUACGAAAACAAUUCCCAUUGCGCGCAGGUUGUGUCAUCCGCGGUGUGGCGCUUGUGCAGUUGUGUGUAUUAGCCGUUGCUGCUGCUGCCGCGGUCGCGUAAAACAUUGACUCCUCGCGGAACAUCACGGGGCGCGUCUGCAUCGUAGGUAUUCGAAGCGAUUUUCAAUGAAAAAAAAAAAAAAAAAAAAAAUCAAAUCAAUACGCACAAUAUGGAAGCCGACGAGAUUCGAACGGCCGCCGCCGCGGCGUCCGCGAUGAAUGGCCAAGACAAACCCACCCGCUGGUGUUUUAUAAAUACGACGGGUGUUAGGUGUACGACAUCAGAUGCGUACCGCGAAUUUCGCGGUCCUCUUUCUUCCCGUCCGUCUUUCAUUCGUUCAUCGUUUCACCGUUAUUGUUUCCCUUC
Molecule: non-coding RNA, 1775 nt
Organism: Cinara cedri
Lineage: Eukaryota; Metazoa; Arthropoda; Insecta; Hemiptera; Aphididae
Source: the annotation of a GenBank genome assembly